GAUGAACGCUGGCGGCGUGCUUAACACAUGCAAGUCGAGCGAGGCAGUUAAGAAGAUUCUUCGGAUGAUUCUUAACUGACUGAGCGGCGGACGGGUGAGUAACGCGUGGGUGACCUGCCCCAUACCGGGGGAUAACAGCUGGAAACGGCUGCUAAUACCGCAUAAGCGCACAGAGCUGCAUGGCUCGGUGUGAAAAACUCCGGUGGUAUGGGAUGGGCCCGCGUCUGAUUAGGCAGUUGGCGGGGUAACGGCCCACCAAACCGACGAUCAGUAGCCGGCCUGAGAGGGCGACCGGCCACAUUGGGACUGAGACACGGCCCAAACUCCUACGGGAGGCAGCAGUGGGGAAUAUUGCACAAUGGGGGAAACCCUGAUGCAGCGACGCCGCGUGAGCGAAGAAGUAUUUCGGUAUGUAAAGCUCUAUCAGCAGGGAAGAUAAUGACGGUACCUGACUAAGAAGCCCCGGCUAA
Molecule: ribosomal RNA, 470 nt
Filed under: uncultured bacterium
Lineage: Bacteria
Description: bacterial SSU rRNA
Rfam family: Bacterial small subunit ribosomal RNA
Source: RNAcentral